RNAcentral lists this long non-coding RNA (6383 nucleotides) under Lactuca sativa (garden lettuce). RNAcentral's name for it is "long non-coding RNA (LSAT_LNC008788)". The record is from RNAcentral. Lineage: Eukaryota; Viridiplantae; Streptophyta; Magnoliopsida; Asterales; Asteraceae.
CAUUCCAAUGCCCUAGAUUUGAUCCUAGCUAAUUUUCCCAAGUGAUAUAAGGCCAUUUAGCAUCAUAGAACACCUCACCAUGAGUUUACUGCCGUAAACUCAUGGGGAGAGGGUCAUUAGGGCCGUAAACCCUCUUAUGAGUUUACUCUUGAGGGGUAAACUCCAUAUCCAAGCCUUAUACGUCCGUAGAUGUCACUCGGGUCACUCCAAACACUUGUUUUGAAGUGUUUUCUCUCAUAUGAGUGUAUUAUCAUAUCUAAUUAGUGGGGUGUAUUAUCAUAUCUAAUUAGUGGUUUAAAGUCUAAUUAGAUAAAUUUGUAUACCAUUUCACAUUACAUAGGAACCUCACAUGUUAUAAAGCCCCGAACCAAUGCUUAGCAUUCAAAUCGUCGCGUUUUCUCGUCUGGUGAGUUCAUACCCCUACCCUUUUUCAAUGGUUUUUCAAUGUUUUCAGGGGGAAUACAAGCAAAAGUACAAGAAUAUCUUUUACUUAAAUUCAUUAUUUCAUUUGAAUGGUUUCAUAAUCCAUACACUUUUAAGAAUUGAAAACAUAUUAACAAACUGUUUUGACUUGCAGAGUUGUUUUUCAAACUGAUUUUCAAUUCUUAUUAUACAGUGUUAUACUUUAUACUUCACAAUUGAUUGUUCACACUUUACAGUUGAAAUCAUAGAUCUUUUGUAUUGUCCUUAAUAAAACACCCCCUAGAUUCGAGUGUGAAGGACAAGUAUCAUUAGAACUUUAGUCAGGUCCUUGAUAGUACUCCUCCUAGAUACGAGAGUAAAGGACUAAUAAAAAUAGAGUUUCUGUAUUAAUAACCUUCAGUUUUAAAUUCAUUAAUCUUAAGAUUGGAGACACGUCCUUUGUAACACUUCCCUUAGACACGAGAGUGGAGGACUACCCCUGUAACCAGAAUCUCCGGAAAAGGGGAGAGCGUGACUUGAGUGUAUAGAUCUAUACGGGAAUGACUAUCCCGCACCUGGCUGCUAGCUACAGCCGAACCGAAAGGUUCAAGGGUGACGAAAGUCAUAAAAAGAUACUGGCCCCGAUCCGAGUCAUAUCUAGUCUGUAGUAUGGUUAUGGAACUCGCAAUCAGGAUUAUGAACACUUUACACUUAAUUAUUAGUUUUAUAUAUGUGUUAAAACUAAUGUAAAUUUAAGGGUAAUCAGACUUUCAGGAGACUCCACUCACACACUUUAAGUAUAGUAGAUACUUGUACAUUACUUUCAGAUUCGGUAACAAUUCACACACAUUUAGAAAAUUAUGGGAUUUUCCUGGGAUAACAUUUGUACAUAACCAGAAACGUGUAACAACUCAGAUAACUAAACUUUACAAUUCACAAGGGUAAACAUGUUUUUCAGUGUACAUCUUUUACAUUACAUUUUGGAUUCGAUAACCAACUUUUAAGAAAAUAUGGGAUUUUCUUGGGUGUAACUUUUUCAGAAACAGAAAGGAACUCAUACAAUUUCAGAAAACAAAACCGCUUAUGAACUCACCAGCUUUAUGCUGAUUUUCAAACUGCAUGUAUUCUCAGGUCCACAUUAGACAGGUACCCGAUGAUCCCUUUUGGCGGAGACGGAGUGCGUUGAAGUCACGUCUUACUUUUGUUCAUAUAUACUAUGUAUCACACUUGUACAACUUUACUUUUAAAACAAAUGUAAACUUUUAUAUGUAAUGUAAUGGUUGUUUACUUUGCUUACUAUGUGCAUUGGAUUUGAUACUCAACGUGGAGUCCGCCCCGGAAAUAUUUCUACCUUUGGUUUUUUGGGUGUGACAGAUUGGUAUCAGAACCCUUGUUUAUUGUAAACGGAGUAUACCAAACUUUACAUGGUAUAAGACUAUAAACACUAAGGGGCCUAAGUGUUCUGAACUAAAAGUAUACUUCAAAAUAUAAGUAUUUUCAAAAAUAUACAAGUAUACCUAACUGUUGAAAUCCAUAACUACAAGUAGAACAAAACAUAAGUAAAUGGGUGUUGUACGCUGCGGUUAAACCUGGGCAGUUAUGUAGUCGUGUCUAGGAUCAAUAUAGCCUGGCCAACUAUAUUCAUUCGAGACACGGCCAACAUGUGCUUGGGAGUGACUGUGGUAUGCGGCAUGCCUAAAACUUACCCAAUACCCAAACAAUGAGCCGUCGUUGCAGCGAAUCAUGAAAUACUAUGGGAGUAUUUCUCGAGCCAAAUCCGUUAUAGAAANUGGGAGUGACUGUGGUAUGCGGCAUGCCUAAAACUUACACUAAUACCCAAAACAUCGAGCCAGUGUCGUAGCGAAUCAUGAAAUACCAUGGGAGUAUUUCUCGAGCCAAUCCUUUGUAGAAUUCCUCGUUCAUGAAUUGUUCCUUGAUCAUUCCUUUAGUGAUAAUUUAUCUGCUUCGAUAACUCUUUGCUGCUUUAUCGCUUAUUCGGAAUAUAUAUAUGUCAUAUCUCUUGAUUCAAUUCAGAGGACUCAUCAUCCUCUCUUUCUCGAUCUUAUUAGAUAAAGAUGCCUCCAAGAAAGAGACCCAGCUCCAAGACCAAUAACCCUCCGCCACCACCUCCUCCCCAAAUUGAUCCUGUAGUAUUCCAGGCAGCUGUUACUGCCGCGGUAGCAGCUGCCAUGUCUCAACGGAACUCUGGUGGUUCCGGUGGUUCGGGAGGUGGUACCCAAACCCAAAACCAAGAAAGCAGUCAGGGACACCGAAAAGAGGGUUCCUAUAAAGAUUUCAUGAACGCAAAACCCACGUCCUUUGAUGGCACUGGAGGUGUCAUUUCCCUCACCCGAUGGUUCGAGAAGAUCGAAUCCAUCUUUGAAACUUGCGCCUGCUCAGAAUCUGACAAGGUGAAGUUUGCCGCCUGCACCUUUAUUGAUAAAGCCCUGACUUGGUGGAAUGGCCGAGUCAAAUCCCUAACCUUACCUGUAGCCAACGCCAUGGGUUGGGAAGCCAUGAAGGAACUUCUGCUGGCUGAGUACUGCCCUCGAGGCGAAAUGCAGAAGUUAGAACACGAGCUCUGGAACCUGAAUAUGAAGGGUUCCGAUAUCGCCGCUUACACUUCCAGGUUCGAUGACUUGGCAUUACUCUGCCCGAAAAUGGUUACCCCGGAGAGUAAGAAGAUAGAGAGAUUCAUCUGGGGGUUGACCCAACCAACAAAAGGAAAUGUCUUAGCUGCGAGGCCGGAUACAUACGACAGCGCCAAACGCUUAGCACAAACCUUAAUCGAUCAUAGUGAUGACCUUGAGGAAGGAACUACCACUCCUGAGCCGACAGAGAGGAGUGGCGAGAAAAGGAAAAUUGGGAAGAAGCAGGAAAGUCAAACAUCGCAAGAGUCUUCGAAGAGGCAGCAAACGGUGGCAGUUCACACUGCCACUUCCCCUGCAGCUGUUUCUGUUGUUGGAUCCUCAGCUCGGAAACCUACCAGUAGGUAUGCUGGAACCCUCCCUAGUUGUGACAAGUGCAACUAUCAUCACCUCACUUCCAGCCCAUGUCUAGAGGUGUUUUGAAACAGUUGUGGCAAAAAGGGUCACACGGCGAAAAACUGUAAGACACCAACUCAAUCAACCAGUCAAGCUUCCGGAGCGGGCAUUGGUCAGGCCUGCUAUGGUUGCAGAGAAGUCGGACAUUUCAAGCGAAACUGCCCCAAGGCAGUAACAUCUGGCAACACCAGAAGAGUUCUAGCAAUAGGACGAGAGGAGACAGCCACCGAUCCCACCGUUGCCACAGGUAUAUUUCCCCUCGAUGAAUCUUAUGCCUGUUAUCCUUUUCGAUUCUAAUGCUGAAAGAAAUUUUUUAACUUUCCAUUCAAACAUCUUUCUAAACUCAGUUCUUCGUUAGUAAUCGAAAACGUGUACCGUCGAGAUGGUUAACAAGUGAGAAGGAGAACGCUAACGUCAUAUCCAUAGAUUGUAUCCUCAGUCCGGACGAUUAUUCUGUUCCAUUCGAUCUAAUGGAAAACUUUUCAUGAAAUGCUUUGAUGUUAUCUUUGGCAUGUAAUGACUGAGUCUCAUCCAUACUGUUAUUCUUGACUUCGAAAGGGUCGUCCGUCUAAAUCUUUACUCUGACCCGACUCUCAUGAUCUUCGUGCAUCAAAGCUUAAAAAGUUUUCCCAUGUAUUCCUCGUCCGUGUGAUCGUCGGGAAACGGGAAGUCUGCAACUCUUUCCUAAUGCCUUUCCCCGAAGAUUUUCCGAGNACGUCUAGUCAAGUCUCGUAUCGACCUAAUCCCUGGAAUUACCUCGUAGCCAAACCUCAGUGAGGAUGAUGUGUCCAAGACAGUGACCAGGGCUUGAUAUGAUCACUACGAGUUAAUAGUGUGCCCUUCGGUCAAACCAUUUUCCCCGGUCAUGUAGAUUAGCAAAGCAGUAAUACUCGUGGACCUUUACAAAAACUAAGGUGAUAAAGAAUUAGUCGGCACCGAAGAUACCCAUAGAAACCCGUCAAUUCUUGGGUCCCGUCGGCUAAUAUCGCAGACCCACCCAAAAAUUUCUUUCGGAAUCAUCCAACCUUUAACUAUCCUGCCACACGAUGAUAUACCCUCUUGUUGAAACCUAUGUCCUGUUGAAGGUCUUAUUCCAGAAUGGCAUGAUAUGUGUUGAGAAGUGUGGAAAACUUCACCCGUGAUACAUCGGACCUUUCGAAAAUCCCCAUUAGAACCUGAACCGUGAACUAUAGACUUCGACUAUCUCAAGGAAAUGGUAGUAGUAUCCAUCUUGUCUUUUCUGUUUCGAACCUUUAGAAGCGCCUGCCUAACGAAAACUUAGCAAUCCCUUUGAUGAGACCGAAAUCAACGAAAGACCGAACCUCCAUGGAAGAACCAAUUGAGAUCAUGGAUUGAGAGAUUAAGCGUACAAAACAAAACCGCAUCCCGGUAGUGAGGGUUCGCUGGAAUGUCAAGCGGAGACCCGAUUCCACUUAGGAGCGUGAAGAUCCGAAGCGGUAAAUUCAUCCACAUCCCUUUUCAUUUCAUGAUUUGUAUCUUAAUCUUUGAAUUUUGGGACGAAAUUCCCUUUAACGGGGGGAUAAUGUGACAACCCGAAGUUGUCCAUCACCGAAACUCAUUUCGUCCGUAAAAUCCGUCUUUAACGAUUCGUUCCGAUUUCGUUUUUGGGCUAAAUUAUUUAAACUUAUAUGUUUAUUAUAAUCUCAUGAGUGUUCAAAUCCCUUAGAAACUCAUGAAAAUGGCCCAAAAUCAUUAAUUUGAAAUUUUCUAAAUUCAAUCCCGCCGGAUUAUGACAACUUAAUCGGGUGCAACCAGAAGCCCCGUUUAACGUCGGUAUCGGGUAGAAUUCCACCAUGUCCCGAACUUGGACCCUAUUUAAAGGGAAUUAAGCUUCCAUUUGAAGCUUUUUCUCUCUCUCUCUCUCACUACUCUCUCUCUAACCUCUCUCCUCAAUCCAACUUAAGGUCCAAAAAUCAUCCAAAACAAGCUUCAAAUCAUCAAGGUAACUAUCAUAGCUCCUAGUAUAUCACCUUUGGCCUUCAAAUUCGUGAAUUAUAUGAGAAAUAGGACCAUAAACAUGUUUUUACGGCCCUGGAACAUCCUUAGGCCGUGAACACAUGUAAAUGGGGUUUUUGAGCCAUAAAACCCUUCCAAACCUCAUUUGGAGCUUAGAUAUGACUUGGGGAAUUACCAAAUUGGAUUUAGAACACCUUGAACAUCAUUUUUGAGGAGUAAACAUGAGUUUACUGCCCAAGAACAUGCUUGGGCUGUAAACUCAUAUUCAUGGGGAGUAAACUCAUUUUAAUGUGUUAAGAUGCCACUUAAACACACCAUAAGCCUUGGGAUAAAUUCUAGAAGUAACCACAAUCAAGAUAAGGGCCUUAAACAUGUUAGAACAAUCCCCAUAGGAGCUUAAGGCCGUGAACCCCCCUAAUAAUGGGUUCUUAGGCUUUAAACCCCUAAAACAUGGUCAAAUGGUGAUUUAACUCAUUCCANCAAGAAUGGGUUCUUAGGCCGUAAACCCCUAAAACAUGGUCAAAUGGUGACUUAAACUCAUUCCAUGGCUUGUAGAUUUAGCUAGAAACUCUUGUAAUGGCCUAGGACCACCAAAACAUCAAAGGAAUGUGUGUGGGGGAGUUUAUGGCUGUAAACUCCUAGUUUACUGCUGUAAACUCCAAUAAAUCGUCCAUAUGUGAGUUAAAUCCAUUCCAAUGCCCUAGAUUUGAUCCUAGCUAAUUUUCCCAAGUGAUAUAAGGCUAUUUAGCAUCAUAGAACACCUCACCAUGAGUUUACUGCCGUAAACUCAUGGGGAGAGGGUCAUUAGGGCCGUAAACCCUCUUAUGAGUUUACUCUUGAGGGGUAAACUCCAUAUCCAAGCCUUAUACGUCCGUAGAUGUCACUCGGGUCACUCCAAACACUUGUUUUGAAGUGUUUUCGCUCAUAUGAGUGUAUUAUCAUAUCUAAUUAGUGGGUUAA